CAGACGGCUCAGUAACACGUGGUCAAGCUAACCUAUGGACGUGGAUAACCUCGGGAAACUGAGAAUAAACCGCGAUAGAUCAUGGUGCCUGGAAUGGCCCAUGGUCGAAAUAGUUUACUGCCGUAGGAUGCGACUGCGGCCUAUCAGUUUGUUGGUGAGGUAAUGGCCCACCAAGACUAUUACAGGUACGGGCUCUGAGAGGAGAAGCCCGGAGAUGGGUACUGAGACACGGACCCAGGCCCUAUGGGGCGCAGCAGGCGAGAAACCUUAGCAAUGUGCGAAAGCACGACUGGGUUAGUCCGAGUGAUUCCUGCUAAAGGAAUCUUUUGCCGGUCCUAAAAGCACCGGUGAAUAAGGGGUGGGCAAGUCUGGUGUCAGCCGCCGCGGUAAUACCAGCACCUCGAGUGAUCAGGACGUUUAUUGGGCCUAAAGCAUCCGUAGCUGGCUCUGCAAGUCUCCGGUUAAAUCAACCUGCUUAACAGAUUGGCCGCUGGAGAUACUACAAAGCUAGGGAGUGGGAGAGGCAGACGGUAUUCGGGGGGUAGGGGGUAAAAUCNUCUGAUCCUCUGAGGACUACCCGUGGCGAAGGCGGUCUGCCAGAACACGUUCGACAGUGAGGGAUGAGAGCUGGGGGAGCAAACC
This 642-nucleotide ribosomal RNA is filed under the name uncultured archaeon. RNAcentral's name for it is "bacterial SSU rRNA". It matches the Rfam family "Archaeal small subunit ribosomal RNA", at positions 82 to 725 of the family's 1478-position model. The record is from RNAcentral.